GAUGAACGCUGGCGGCGUGCUUAACACAUGCAAGUCGAACGAAGCACUUUACCUUGAUUCCUUCGGGUUGAUUGGUACUGUGACUGAGUGGCGGACGGGUGAGUAACGCGUGGGUAACCUGCCCCAUACAGGGGGAUAACAGAUAGAAAUGUCUGCUAAUACCGCAUAAGACCACAGCGCCGCAUGGCGCAGGGGUAAAAACUCCGGUGGUAUGGGAUGGACCCGCGUCUGAUUAGCUAGUUGGUGGGGUAAAGGCCCACCAAGGCGACGAUCAGUAGCCGACCUGAGAGGGUGACCGGCCACAUUGGGACUGAGACACGGCCCAA
RNAcentral lists this ribosomal RNA (326 nucleotides) under uncultured bacterium. RNAcentral's name for it is "bacterial SSU rRNA". It matches the Rfam family "Bacterial small subunit ribosomal RNA", at positions 28 to 334 of the family's 1533-position model. The record is from RNAcentral.